UACAGAGGGUGCAAGCGUUAAUCGGAUUUACUGGGCGUAAAGCGUGCGUAGGCGGUUUGCUAAGUCAAUUGUGAAAGCCCUGGGCUCAACCUGGGAAUUGCAGUCGAUACUGGUAGGCUAGAGAACGGUAGAGGGAGGCGGAACUCCAGGUGUAGCGGUGAAAUGCGUAGAUAUCUGGAAGAACACCGAUGGCGAAGGCAACCUCCUGGGCCUGUUCUGACGCUGAGGCACGAAAGCGUGGGUAGCAAACAGG
This 253-nucleotide ribosomal RNA is filed under the name uncultured Nevskia sp. RNAcentral describes it as "partial 16S ribosomal RNA". It matches the Rfam family "Bacterial small subunit ribosomal RNA", at positions 524 to 776 of the family's 1533-position model. The record is from RNAcentral. Lineage: Bacteria; Pseudomonadati; Pseudomonadota; Gammaproteobacteria; Nevskiales; Nevskiaceae.